Molecule: ribosomal RNA, 551 nt
Filed under: Salmonella enterica subsp. enterica serovar Enteritidis
Lineage: Bacteria; Pseudomonadati; Pseudomonadota; Gammaproteobacteria; Enterobacterales; Enterobacteriaceae
Description: partial 23S ribosomal RNA
Rfam family: Bacterial large subunit ribosomal RNA
Source: RNAcentral
UUAAGCGACUAAGCGUACACGGUGGAUGCCCUGGCAGUCAGAGGCGAUGAAGGGCGUACUAAUCUGCGAUAAGCGCCGGUAAGGUGAUAUGAACCGUUAUAACCGGCGAUACCCGAAUGGGGAAACCCAGUGUGAUUCGUCACACUAUCAUUAACUGAAUCCAUAGGUUAAUGAGGCGAACCGGGGGAACUGAAACAUCUAAGUACCCCGAGGAAAAGAAAUCAACCGAGAUUCCCCCAGUAGCGGCGAGCGAACGGGGAGGAGCCCAGAGCCUGAAUCAGCAUGUGUGUUAGUGGAAGCGUCUGGAAAGGCGCGCGAUACAGGGUGACAGCCCCGUACACAAAAGCGCAUGUGCUGUGAGCUCGAUGAGUAGGGCGGGACACGUGGUAUCCUGUCUGAAUAUGGGGGGACCAUCCUCCAAGGCUAAAUACUCCUGACUGACCGAUAGUGAACCAGUACCGUGAGGGAAAGGCGAAAAGAACCCCGGCGAGGGGAGUGAAAAAGAACCUGAAACCGUGUACGUACAAGCAGUGGGAGCACAGGUUUACCUG